Molecule: ribosomal RNA, 685 nt
Filed under: uncultured bacterium
Lineage: Bacteria
Description: bacterial SSU rRNA
Rfam family: Bacterial small subunit ribosomal RNA
Source: RNAcentral
GGUUCUGACGCCGUCACGGCCGGAGCAAAAGUAUUAAGUAGACCGCCUGGGGAGUACGGUCGCAAGGCUAAAACUCAAAGGAAUUGACGGGGGCUCACACAGGCGGUGGAGCAUGUGGCUUAAUUCGAAGCAACGCGAAGAACCUUAUCCUGGGUUUGACAUGCAAGGAUGCCCAUCCUGAAAGGGAGUAGGCUGCCUUCGGGUGAAACUUGCACAGGUGCUGCAUGGCUGUCGUCAGCUCGUGUCGUGAGAUGUUGGGUUAAGUCCCGUAACGAGCGAAACCCUUAUCGUUAGUUGCCAGCGCGUAAUGGCGGGAACUCUAGCGAGACUGCCGGUGUUAAACCGGAGGAAGGUGGGGAUGACGUCAAGUCCUCAUGGCCUUUAUGCCCAGGGCUGCACACGUGCUACAAUGGUACGGACAAACCGAAGCGAUACCGCGAGGUGGAGCAAAUCGGAAAAACCGUGUCUCAGUUCGGAUUGUAGGCUGCAACUCGCCUACAUGAAGUUGGAAUCGCUAGUAAUCGCGGAUCAGCUAUGCCGCGGUGAAUAUGUUCCUGAGCCUUGUACACACCGCCCGUCAAGUCACGGAAGCUGGAAGCACUUGAAGUCGGGUAGCUAACUCUUCGGAGAGGCGCCUGCCGAUGGUGAGUUCGGUGACUGGGGCUAAGUCGUAACAAGGUAGCCG